UGGGCAACCUACCCUUGACUCUGGGAUAACUCCGGGAAACCGGAGCUAAUACCGGAUAUGAACACGAAGGACAUCCUUUGUGUUGGAAAGUUUUUCGGUCAGGGAUGGGCCCGCGGCCUAUCAGCUUGUUGGUGGGGUAAUGGCCCACCAAGGCGACGACGGGUAGCCGGCCUGAGAGGGCGACCGGCCACACUGGGACUGAGACACGGCCCAGACUCCUACGGGAGCA
RNAcentral lists this ribosomal RNA (229 nucleotides) under uncultured bacterium. RNAcentral describes it as "partial 16S ribosomal RNA". It matches the Rfam family "Bacterial small subunit ribosomal RNA", at positions 118 to 347 of the family's 1533-position model. The record is from RNAcentral.